UAAUAUAAGUGGCUGAAUUUGAGUAUUAAGCACUCAGAACGGGGGAUAUAUUUUGGGGUGAAUCACGUUUACUGUAACGUGUAGGGCUUGAACCUUUAGUCCGAACCCGUCAACUAACCUCGUAAGCUAAGAAAGGUGGAUGA
This 143-nucleotide small RNA is filed under the name Desulfosporosinus lacus. Its description in RNAcentral is "c-di-AMP sequence". It matches the Rfam family "c-di-AMP riboswitch aptamer (ydaO/yuaA leader)". Rfam says of the family: This family represents a conserved RNA structure found upstream of the ydaO and yuaA genes in Bacillus subtilis and related genes in other bacteria. The ydaO/yuaA element is thought to act as a genetic "off" switch for the ydaO and yuaA genes in its native state. Lineage: Bacteria; Bacillati; Bacillota; Clostridia; Eubacteriales; Desulfitobacteriaceae. The record is from RNAcentral.